UACGUAGGGUGCGAGCGUUGUCCGGAUUUAUUGGGCGUCAAGAGCUCGUAGGCGGUUCGGCAAGUCGGGUGUGAAAUUUCGAGGCUCAACCUCGAAACGCCACUCGAUACUGCUGUGACUGGAGUCCGGUAGAGGAGUGCGGAAUUCCUGGUGUAGCGGUGAAAUGCGCAGAUAUCAGGAGGAACACCAACGGCGAAGGCAGCACUCUGGGCCGGUACUGACGCUGAGGAGCGAAAGCGUGGGGAGCAAACAGG
Molecule: ribosomal RNA, 254 nt
Filed under: uncultured bacterium
Lineage: Bacteria
Description: partial 16S ribosomal RNA
Rfam family: Bacterial small subunit ribosomal RNA
Source: RNAcentral